RNAcentral lists this small RNA (45 nucleotides) under Candidatus Moduliflexus flocculans. Its description in RNAcentral is "Acido-Lenti-1 RNA". It matches the Rfam family "Acido-Lenti-1 RNA". Lineage: Bacteria; Candidatus Moduliflexota; Candidatus Moduliflexia; Candidatus Moduliflexales; Candidatus Moduliflexaceae. The record is from Rfam by way of RNAcentral.
CCCAGGGCUGCGCCCUGGGCUAAUAUGGCCUGCCCUUUCAGGGCA